AUGCUCGUUAUCGCCGCCGCACAGCUGCCUCUUCCCGGCUCGCAGUCUCGCCGGCGAGACCCGCCGCGGCCACCGAAAGCGCUCGCCGCCAUACUGCGCUCGCGCGUCAUCGCCUGCCUCCGCGCGCAAGAUGGAGAGACGGCGAUGCAGGCGGCACUACUAGGAAAAGGAUUCACGACUUGCCUAGAAAUCGUGAUGUCCACUCCUGGAGUGCUAGAGGUUGUUGAGGAUCUUCGUAGGAGUUACCCUUCCUUGACAUUUGGGGUUGGUACGGUCCUCAAUGCUGAUGAUGCAAGGAAAGCCAUUAGAGCUGGUGCACAGUUUCUCAUGAGCCCUGGCACAGUCAUGGAAAUACUUAAUGAUCUUGAUGGAAGUGAAGUUCUGUAUAUUCCAGGAGUGCUGACACCAACUGAGGUUAUAUCUGCUUGCAAUGCUGGUGCUAAAGUCGUUAAGCUGUACCCAGCUUCGGUGAUGGGUGGAGAGAUGUACAUGUCUGCUCUAAAGAAACCAUUUCCUCUUGUACCAAUGGUUGCUUCGCAAGGAAUUACCAUAGGUUCGAUCAAGUCGUACAUGGAGGCAGGGGCAUCUGGGGUGGUGCUGUCCGAUGCUAUCUUCGACAAAGAGUUGAUGAGAGAAAGGAAUUUCAUUGGAAUUUCAGCACUCGCAAACCAGGCCACUUUGCAGGCAUCACGGUGUGGAAGAUGA
RNAcentral lists this ribosomal RNA (705 nucleotides) under Triticum aestivum (bread wheat). RNAcentral's name for it is "partial small subunit ribosomal RNA". Lineage: Eukaryota; Viridiplantae; Streptophyta; Magnoliopsida; Poales; Poaceae. The record is from RNAcentral.